Molecule: small nucleolar RNA, 137 nt
Organism: Dioscorea cayenensis subsp. rotundata (Guinea yam)
Lineage: Eukaryota; Viridiplantae; Streptophyta; Magnoliopsida; Dioscoreales; Dioscoreaceae
Source: RefSeq, a predicted model, not a curated record
ACCAAUUCCGGGGAGAUUGCUUUGUUUUCCCCUGGUUUAAUGGCUCGGGCGCAAUAUUAAACUUGAUUUAUGUGGUCAUCCUGAUCAAUGGAUUUUUGCUCCUGUUCCAUUUGAUCCUGGAAACGCUACAUACAUUG